Molecule: ribosomal RNA, 327 nt
Filed under: uncultured eukaryote
Lineage: Eukaryota
Description: partial 18S ribosomal RNA
Rfam family: Eukaryotic small subunit ribosomal RNA
Source: RNAcentral
CCCUUAGAUGUUCGGGGCCGCACGCGCGCUACACUGAAUGAAUCAGCGAGUGUAUGUCCUAGGCCGAAAGGUCCGGGUAACCCGUUGAACCUCAUUCGUGAUUGGGAUAGGGACUUGCAAUUGUUUCCCUUGAACGAGGAAUUCCCAGUAAGCGCAAGUCAUCAGCUUGCAUUGAUUACGUCCCUGCCCUUUGUACACACCGCCCGUCGCACCUACCGAUUGAACGUUCCGGUGAGACCUUGGGAUUUGGUCUUUGGUACUUUAUUGUGCCGUUGACCGAAAAACUUGAGCAAACCUUAACGUUUAGAGGAAGGUGAAGUCGUAACA